GUCAGACUUCUGUAGGAAAACUCCUUGUUCUCCAAAGCAGGGAAUCUGGAGCUUUGCACAGCACCCUGAAUGGUCCUCAGUGGGUUGUCACCUGUCCUGCCUGCAGUGCCUUCCCCCGCCCACUACACCACUGCACAGCACCCCAAACGGUCCUCAGCUGGCCGUCACCUGCCCUUCCUGCAGUCCCUUCCCCUACCUACUAUACCACUGCACAGCACCCCGAAUGGUCCUCAGCUGGCCAUCACCUGCCCCACCUGCAGUCCCUUCCCCACUACGCCACCCAGAAACCUAGGCAUGGACCUUUGCCUACCGUGUGAAGGAGUCUCAUUAAGUCCUUUCCUCUCUCCUUAAAGCUGGACCUAAGUCCCCUUCUUUGCCACAUAUCUUCCGGGGUGCAGACACUGGCAGAAUGACACUUUCUAGGUCUCCUCAGUCCCUGGGUUCCCUAUGAACUGGAUUCUGUCCAACAUGCUGAGCUUUAGAGGCUAAAGCUGGGCAUCAACAACCUUGCUGGCAUGUUUUCUAGAUCACACACUCAUGGUUUCCUGGGCUGUUCCUAACUAGGGCUUAAUGCCGUGUAUCCACGCCCUCCUCAGACCCUCCUAGCUGUCAGGCACACUGCUCCCUCACUUCCUUAGAGUCAGGAUAGUCCCUUCUCUCUGGAACACAGAAAGCAUCUUCCAUUCCAGCACUGGGCAGCUCCAGCUCCCAGUCCCUGCUUCCCCACUCUCCCCAUUUGCUCAGAGUACCACCUGUGUUUGUUCCGUACUUAAGCCAGGGGCUGCCGCCCAGAGCUGCCCUCUUACUGAUAAGUGAUGGCCUGAGAUCCUGGGAAGGCAUGCCCAGCUGCCAGCAGCAUAUGGAUGCUGAGCCAGGUACACAGCUGCUGUAGGGGCCUCUGCCUUUUCAACUAGCUUGCAUAGCAGCAGGCCCUGCAGCCAUUUCCUGUUUUAAAAUGAGCCUGUUAUACUGAGGGGUCUUUAAGAUGGCAAGUCCUCUGUGUUCAUCUAAGUUGCUACAUAGUUUGUGCAAGGUUCUGCAAACAGCAGGAUUCCAUUCAGGAAGUCCUCAGCAGGGCGGGGCCUGGGUUACUGCUGUCACUCACUGUCCUGAUGGCAGAUUUAUAGGCUUUCACUGUGGGGGAAGGCUCAGCUCUGUCUCCUCUGGGGCUGGAAGGUCAGCUCUCUACUGGUUGUGAAAGCAGUGGGGGCUGUUGUCAUGUGGCCUUGCUGUCCAGGAAGCUGGUAGUGAGGUCCACCCCGAGAGGUCGGUGGGGCAGAUAUGAUAUGCUAUAACCAGGCAGUUCUUAUUGCCAGCUCUCCUGUGCCUGUCUUUAAAUCGACCAGCCAUUAAGUUGGUGAUAAAGAUGGGGAAUUAACUGGUACAGAGACCAGAUGGUGUAAAGGAAAUUGACACUACAAGGCAGAGGACAGCCCAGCUGCCCAAGCUUGCAGGGCUUCCGGACUUUUCCAUCUGCCUGUGACCAGAAAUGCAAUAGAAGACUCAGGUCGGGGCAGGGGACUUAGGCAGGGUGUCUGAGCCCUGUGCCACCGGUGUUCUGACCAUGCUAAGGAAAAGGCAAGGUGAAUCGCUUGACUUCCCCAGGGCCUGAAUCCCUCUGCUGUCGAGUUCUUGGCUUCCUUCCCCAUCUGCCUCUUCAGCGCUAUGCAAGGUGGAAGCUGGAAAGAAGGACUGGGAACCUGCCUCAGCCUCCAGUGGCAGCUAUUUUUCAGAUAACAGUGGAGCAGACUGGCCUUGUUGGGGCUUGGGUUUUCACUCCUAACUCGUCUAGUUUUUGAAGAGUGCAUCAAUUCUACCUGCUCUGCCUGCGAUCUUCAUGGCUACCUGGGAACAGAGGUCUGGUUGUUCCUGGACCCCGUUACCAGCUAAAUGCUCAUGUGGUUUUGAAUAGGUCAUUUGACCUCUCUUGUCUCCCAACUUCAGCUCUGCCUCUCAGAGCAGCCACAGCAGCCCAGCAUGGACAGAGAUGAUGUCCUCAGCCUCUACCACUGGACACUGUGCAUGCUGCAGCCUCCAAAACAGGAGAAAAUCCCAGACCAGCGUGUGGCCCCAUAGAGUACCAGGCCGGCCCUGGAAGCACCAGUAUAGGAGACAAGCAAUCUGUGUCCACUGUGAUGCACAGGCCUCAGGCACACACAGGAGCCUGCAGACAGGGAAGUGGGAGAGGGUGCAGCUGACAGUCAGGGGCCCAGCUAUAAAGUGGAUGGGCAUGUUGCUUUCCAAAGAGCAUUUCCAGGGUCCCUCCCUGCAAUGAGCCUCUGCGGACACCAAAAUAAUGGAGGGUGUAGAACACAGAAGCAAGCUGCCUGGUGAAGGGAAGCAGGAGUCGCCAUGUGUGGGAGGGACAGAAGCCUACUGGAGAGAGGACAUGGUGAGUGAACCGAGUAGCCCAGGGGACAGCCCCAGGUCAGCUUGGAUGAUAGAGAGACCUGCAGCACAAAGCCAGGAAGUGGCUGGCAUCUUCUGCCUACAUGGGUGCUGGGAGAGCACAGCAGAGUCAGCUUCCUGACGAGGGUUCCGAGUAGGGCAUCUUGAUACUCCCUGCUGGGGUGAGAGGGAAAGGUCAGAUGGGAGUGGAGGGCAUGGGGGAAAGGAUGAGUGAGGUGCCUGGGGCCUGAAGUCAAAGGCUGAGCAAGAACUGAGCUCUGGCAACCUAGCUGGGGCGCCAUACGGGGCAUAGGAAGCUUUGGUGUCCCAUGGAGGAUGGUUGAAAGGGAAUGUGGGUCCCUCAAACCUAGCCAUGGGACUCUUGGUAGUGAGCUUACCCAGUGACUUUCCUUAGUACCUUGGGAAGAAGGCAGAUUAGGCUAGAACUGAUUACCAGCUCCCUCGAAAGAAACCAAAGGUGAGCGGACAUUUUCCCACCAUCCCAACGGACACCCUCUCAACUCAACAGAGGAUCCUUUACAGGGACCCAUAACCAAUACUUCCCUAAAGCCUCAGUAACCAAUAGCUUUAUUAUUUUUAAAUGUGUGUGCAUGCACACAUGCAGAUGGUUGUGAGCCGCCUCAUGUGGGUGCUGGAAAUGGAACUUACGUCUUCUGGAAGAGCAGCAAAUUCGCUUAAACCCCCGUCAUCUCUCUGGUUCCACUGAUAGCAUUGUUGACAUGGGUGGGCCCAAUCAUGCCCUUUCACCCUGUUUCUCUUUCUGUUCUGGACAUCAGGAAGCUCGUGUCAGUGUCAAAUUCCUCUUCCUCCCAUCUUGGACAUUUGUACAGGAAAUGAUCUUUGCAGUCUUGAAUACUUGCCCCACCCCCACAUUUCUUGCACUUGAACUCAGACAUGCUAAGCAAGUGCUCUGCCAUUGAGGUUCAUGUCCAACCUCUUGUCUAUGGUCAUUCUGAUCAUAAGCUACCUCUAAUACUUCGUGGAAUAAGACAGAACAGCCUUAUUUUUGCUUGUUUGUUUGUUUUUGAGACACAGGCUUACUAUGUAGAUCAGACUGGCCUCACAGAGGUCUAUCUGCUUCUGCCUCCUGAGUACUAGAUUAAAAGCAUGAGCCACAUACCCUGCUAGAUACAUUAUUUCCUUAAAAGUCAUAUGUAUUAA
Myodes glareolus (Bank vole) is the source of this 3570-nucleotide non-coding RNA. NCBI's taxonomy places the organism in Eukaryota, Metazoa, Chordata, Mammalia, Rodentia, Cricetidae. The record is from RefSeq and is a predicted model, not a curated record.